Molecule: ribosomal RNA, 450 nt
Filed under: uncultured bacterium
Lineage: Bacteria
Description: bacterial SSU rRNA
Rfam family: Bacterial small subunit ribosomal RNA
Source: RNAcentral
AACGAACGCUGGCGGCAUGCCUAACACAUGCAAGUCGAACGAGACCUUCGGGUCUAGUGGCGCACGGGUGCGUAACGCGUGGGAAUCUGCCCUUGGGUUCGGAAUAACAGUUAGAAAUGACUGCUAAUACCGGAUAAUGUCUUCGGACCAAAGAUUUAUCGCCCAGGGAUGAGCCCGCGUAGGAUUAGCUAGUUGGUGAGGUAAAGGCUCACCAAGGCGACGAUCCAUAGCUGGUCUGAGAGGAUGAUCAGCCACACUGGGACUGAGACACGGCCCAGACUCCUACGGGAGGCAGCAGUGGGGAAUAUUGGACAAUGGGGGCAACCCUGAUCCAGCCAUGCCGCGUGAGUGAAGAAGGCCUUAGGGUUGUAAAGCUCUUUCGGCGGGGACGAUGAUGACGGUACCGGGAGAAUAAGCCCCGGCUAACUCCGUGCCAGCAGCCGCGGUAAU